GAUGAACGCUAGCUACAGGCUUAACACAUGCAAGUCGAGGGGAAACGACAUCGAAAGCUUGCUUUUGAUGGGCGUCGACCGGCGCACGGGUGAGUAACGCGUAUCCAACCUGCCCACCACUUGGGGAUAACCUUGCGAAAGUAAGACUAAUACCCGAUGAUAUCUCUAGACGACAUCUGAAAGGGAUUAAAGAUUUAUCGGUGAUGGAUGGGGAUGCGUCCCAUUAGUUAGUUGGCGGGGUAACGGCCCACCAAGACGACGAUGGGUAGGGGUUCUGAGAGGAAGGUCCCCCACAUUGGAACUGAGACACGGUCCAAACUCCUACGGGAGGCAGCAGUGAGGAAUAUUGGUCAAUGGGCGAGAGCCUGAACCAGCCAAGUAGCGUGCAGGAUGACGGCCCUAUGGGUUGUAAACUGCUUUUAUGCGGGGAUAAAGUGUACCAUGUAUGGUGUUUUGCAGGUACCGCAUGAAUAGGACCGGCUAAUUCCGUG
This 491-nucleotide ribosomal RNA is filed under the name uncultured bacterium. RNAcentral's name for it is "bacterial SSU rRNA". It matches the Rfam family "Bacterial small subunit ribosomal RNA", at positions 28 to 507 of the family's 1533-position model. The record is from RNAcentral.